This 301-nucleotide ribosomal RNA is filed under the name uncultured bacterium. RNAcentral's name for it is "partial 16S ribosomal RNA". It matches the Rfam family "Bacterial small subunit ribosomal RNA", at positions 509 to 808 of the family's 1533-position model. The record is from RNAcentral.
CAGUACCGCGGUAAUACAGAGGGUGCGAGCGUUAAUCGGAUUUACUGGGCGUAAAGCGUGCGUAGGCGGCUUCUUAAGUCGGAUGUGAAAUCCCUGAGCUUAACUUAGGAAUUGCAUUCGAUACUGGGAAGCUAGAGUAUGGGAGAGGAUGGUAGAAUUCAAGGUGUAGCGGUGAAAUGCGUAGAGAUCUGGAGGAAUACCGAUGGCGAAGGCAGCCAUCUGGCCUAAUACUGACGCUGAGGUACGAAAGCAUGGGGAGCAAACAGGAUUAGAUACCCCUGUAGUCCCUGUCUCUUAUACA